GACGAACGCUGGCGGCGUGCUUAACACAUGCAAGUCGAACGGAAAGGCCCUGCUUUUGUGGGGUGCUCGAGUGGCGAACGGGUGAGUAACACGUGAGUAACCUGCCCUUGACUUUGGGAUAACUUCAGGAAACUGGGGCUAAUACCGGAUAGGAGCUCCUGCUGCAUGGUGGGGGUUGGAAAGUUUCGGCGGUUGGGGAUGGACUCGCGGCUUAUCAGCUUGUUGGUGGGGUAGUGGCGUACCAAGGCUUUGACGGGUAGCCGGCCUGAGAGGGUGACCGGCCACAUGGGGACUGAGAGACGGCCCAGACUCCUACGGGAGGCAGCAGUGGGGAAUAUUGCACAAUGGGCGGAAGCCUGUUGCAGCAACGCCGCGUGCGGGAUGACGGCCUUCGGGUUGUAAACCGCUUUCGCCUGUGACGAAGCGUGAGUGACGGUAAUGGGUAAAGAAGCACCGGCUAACUACGUG
RNAcentral lists this ribosomal RNA (468 nucleotides) under uncultured bacterium. RNAcentral describes it as "partial 16S ribosomal RNA". It matches the Rfam family "Bacterial small subunit ribosomal RNA", at positions 28 to 507 of the family's 1533-position model. The record is from RNAcentral.